RNAcentral lists this ribosomal RNA (916 nucleotides) under uncultured archaeon. RNAcentral's name for it is "bacterial SSU rRNA". It matches the Rfam family "Archaeal small subunit ribosomal RNA", at positions 1 to 924 of the family's 1478-position model. The record is from RNAcentral.
UUUCCGGUUGAUCCUGCCGGACCUGACUGCUAUCGGAUUGAUACUAAGCCAUGUGAGUCUUUGUAGCAAUACAAGGCAGACGGCUCAGUAACACGUAGUCAAUCUAACCUAUAGACGGGGAUAACCUCGGGAAACUGAGAAUAAUACCCGAUAGAUCAUUAUGCCUGGAAUGGUUUAUGGUUGAAAUGAUUUUUCGCUAUAGGAUGGGACUGCGGUCUAUCAGCUUGUUGGUGAGGUAAUGGCCCACCAAGGCUAUAACAGAUACGGGCUCUGAGAGGAGAAGCCCGGAGAUGGGUACUAGACACGGACCCAGGCCCUAUGGGGCGCAGCAGGCGAGAAAACUUUGCAAUGUGCGAAAGCACGACAAGGUUAAUCCGAGUGUUUCCUGCUAAAGGAAUCUUUUGUCAGUCCUAAAAACACCGAUGAAUAAGGGGUGGGCAAGUUCUGGUGUCAGCCGCCGCGGUAAAACCAGCACCUCAAGUGGUCAGGAGGAUUAUUGGGCCUAAAGCAUCCGUAGCCGGCUCUGUAAGUUUUCGGUUAAAUCCAUAUGCUCAACGUAUGGGCUGCCGGGAAUACUGCAAAGCUAGGGAGUGGGAGAGGUAGACGGUACUCGGUAGGAAGGGGUAAAAUCCUUUGAUCUAUUGAUGACCACCUGUGGCGAAGGCGGUCUACUAGAACACGUCCGACGGUGAGGGAUGAAAGCUGGGGGAGCAAACCGGAUUAGGUACCCGGGUAGUCCCAGCUGUAAACAAUGCAAACUCAGUGAUGCACUGGCUUGUGGCCAGUGCAGUGCCGCAGGGAAGCCGUUAAGUUUGCCGCCUGGGAAGUACGUACGCAAGUAUGAAACUUAAAGGAAUUGGCGGGGGAGCACCACAAGGGGUGAAGCCUGCGGUUCAAUUGGAUUCAACGCCGGAAA